AGGAGGUUGAAUAGGGUUAGAAAGACGGCAUGACUAUAUCUCUAAUGUAGACCUAAAGUGCUUCCUAGAGCUAGGGACCAGGAUUCUAAAUGAGACCUGAGGGAAUGGAGCUGUUGUUGACAAGAGCUGUUAGACAAACAGGACAUGGAGGAGGGAAGGUAUCCUUCUGCAGUUUGGGGGAUCUGAAGAAAAGCUGAGCAGAUCAGAAAUGAACUCAGCAGAAUUAACAUUAGAAAGAGAGAAACAAGGACACCAAGAAGCAAUUUCACCCAGGAAAGCAUUCUGUUAUGAAAUCCAAGCUCUCUUUACAUGAAGACUCAGCCUGCAGACAGCUCCCUACACAUGCACCCCACAGGGAAGGCUGCUUGUCACCAGCAACCAUCUCCAUCCACAUUCCCCCCGCCCUGCCCCCACGAGAAGCCUGCCUUCAGUUGUCCCAAUUACAGGGAAGCCUGCUGAGGAAACAGAACUGUCUGAAUGCAAAGGAAAUUUAGCUCUUAUGAAUAUGAACUCUCAACCAAGAAUCACCAGACGUUUAAGGAAAACCAAGAACACAAAAGAGAAAGAUCAAGAUUAAAAAAACAGCUGGGCGUGGUGGCUCUUGCCUGUAAUCCCAGCACUUUGGGAGGCUGAGGCGGGAGGAUCGCUUGAGCAUAGGAGUUCGAGACUAACCUGGACAAUAUAGUGAGACCUCGUGUCUACAUAAAAUUUAAAAAUUAAUUAGCUGGGCAUGGUGUUGUGCACCUGUAGACCCAACUACUCAGGAGGCUGAGGUGGGAGGAUCCUUUGAGCCUGAGAUGUUGACGGUGCAGUGAGCUGUGAUAGCUAAAUGAGAUCACUCUGUAAAACAAACAAACAACAACAAUAAAACCAGAGCCAUCUUCUGAAAAAACAGAAAUCAUUGAGAAAUAAUAAAAGAACUUAAAAGUUCUAAUAUCCUUAGAAACAGGUGGAUAUUGUUU
This 962-nucleotide long non-coding RNA is filed under the name Homo sapiens (human). RNAcentral's name for it is "HSALNT0311115". Lineage: Eukaryota; Metazoa; Chordata; Mammalia; Primates; Hominidae. The record is from RNAcentral.